GUCCAGACGGCGUCGCCAGCUGCCCAGGCAGUUCCUAUCCCUUUCGGAGCUCCAGCCUGCCCCUCCUGACGCUCUCAGAGUCUGGCCUUCUGCUGGGCCCCGGGUCUCUCACUGGCAGAAUGGAGUUCUCGGAGCUGAUCCAUACGGGCUGAGCCCAAGCAGAGUUUCUACGGGGCCCGGAGGCGCCCCCGCUUCGCGGCACGGUGUGAGUCACCGUCCACCACCUGCUCCUGUCGCCAGGGCCCGCGUCCUCUCCGGACCUGUGGCUGCUGCUGUUGCGUAGCGUCGACUCCUUCGAGAAGCAGUGAGACGUGGCGGGGUGGGGGAGGGUCCCCGGGGUUGGGGAGCGCGCGGCUUGGCGGAGUAGGGGGCACGGCCAGCGCAGUCAGAGCUGGCGCCCUCCUGCGUAAGCCCAAUCCGGGAAACUCGUUGCCCCUCUCCUGGGAAAGGAACGUCCCUCCCCAGGGUUGCGAGUGACUCGGGCACCAUCACCCUGUGCUGUAAAGACCUGCGAGUGCUGCAGCUGGAAAUAGAGGGCGCGGAAGCGACGCUGGGCAUCGCCCGCUCCAUCGAGACCAACGCGUGGCGGCUGAGCGAGGUUCUGCUACGCUCCAGCCAGCCCCUAACUGGUCCCCAGAAGCGGCGCUGCUACAGGGACCAGGAGCUGCUGCGAACUGCGCUGGCGGGGGCUCGUCCUUGGGCGCGGGGCUUCAUCAUGGACACGCUCUCGGCCCAGGCCGCGAAACAAGCCCGCGUGACUGGCGGAGGCACAGAGACCAAGGCCGCUUAACCUGGCUGGUUGCACUGGUCCCUGGAGAGCACUGAGCACAGGGGCUGCCACAGUGGCCGGCUCAGACAUGGCAGAGAUCAGCAGAGAAUGGGCAAUCAGGCUCCCCUGAGAUGAGCAGCAGCGCAGAGGAGGUGCCCCUCUCUUACUACACCAACUUCAGAGGGCGUCCCCUGCAGGAGAGCUUCAUGCGCCUGGUGGAGGCCUGUGGGGACUCGGAGCAAAGCAUGGACAACUGGCUGAGUCGGCUGGACGGCUGCCGCUGACUGUAACAUGUAAAGCAGGCACUGAGCACCACCUGCCUGGCAGUCCAGGGCAUGGAGAGGCACAGACAGCACCCUGCUUGUGACUUCACUGGCCCAACUCAUCCUGGACCCCUUGAGCAAGACCAUGGCUGGAUUCCAGGAACUGGUGGAGUGGAAGUGGAUCCAGGAAAAUGCCGUGUGAAGGGAGGACUCAGAUGCACUCCCUGUGGUCUGGGCUCAACCAGCCAAAAGAGCAACAAAGACUCCAGAACCCACUCUACCUCCUCAAUCCCUUGGCCAUCUGUGGAGCCCCAGAGCCUGCGGCUGUGGCAAGGCCUGUUUCUGCGCUGGACCUGCUCACCUGAGCCUGCAGAAGCUGCAUGGGGGAAGAGUGUGGCAAAUAGUGACAGGAAGGGAGAAGACAGAAGCCUCUCAGCCAACUGCUUCAGCCGAGCCCCUAUUCUAAGCACUGGCUCCUUGGAUAGCAGCUGAGAUGUUCCUGAAACCUCUGCAGGCCCCUUAGGACCUUUACACCUUGGAUGAGGGUGCCUGCAACCCAGGUUAGCCAAAAGUACUGAGGGUCUUAAGUUUGAAGUGUCCAAAGUAUAGGGAGGUCUCAAUAAUAAAAGUCUCCAUGAUCAGCA
Long non-coding RNA from Homo sapiens (human), 1676 nucleotides. NCBI's taxonomy places the organism in Eukaryota, Metazoa, Chordata, Mammalia, Primates, Hominidae. The record is from Ensembl.